AUUGAACGCUGGCGGCAUGCCUUACACAUGCAAGUCGAACGGCAUCGCGGAAAAGCUUGCUUUCCUGGCGGCGAGUGGCGAACGGGUGAGUAACACAUCGGAACGUACCGGCUAGUGGGGGAUAACCCGUCGAAAGACGGGCUAAUACCGCAUACGCUCUUCGGAGGAAAGCAGGGGACCUUUGGGCCUUGCGCUAGCCGAGCGGCCGAUGUCCGAUUAGCUAGUUGGUGGGGUAAAGGCCUACCAAGGCGACGAUCGGUAGCGGGUCUGAGAGGACGAUCCGCCACACUGGGACUGAGACACGGCCCAGACUCCUACGGGAGGCAGCAGUGGGGAAUCUUGGACAAUGGGGGCAACCCUGAUCCAGCAAUGCCGCGUGGGUGAAGAAGGCCUUCGGGUUGUAAAGCCCUUUCGGCAGGGAAGAAAUCGGCGGGGCGAAUAACCCUGCUGGAUGACGGUACCUGCAGAAGAAGCACCGGCUAACUACGUG
This 490-nucleotide ribosomal RNA is filed under the name uncultured bacterium. RNAcentral's name for it is "partial 16S ribosomal RNA". It matches the Rfam family "Bacterial small subunit ribosomal RNA", at positions 29 to 507 of the family's 1533-position model. The record is from RNAcentral.